UUUUUUCUCUCGUGAAACAGUACGGAAAAACUAUUUGAAAUCGUAACACACGCACGCACGCGGAAGUGAGCACGGACCACGAUAGAAGCAAUAUUCAAUUGGUUGGAGUGCCGAAAACAACAGAACAGGAGAGUAAAGAAAGCAGGAACGACCAUUCAACGCGCUAGCGCCGGAGAAGCGGCAGGGGGCAGGAACGAUCCUCCAACGUGCUAGCGCCUGUUAGAGGAGAAGUGGCAGGAAGGUAGGGACGAUCCUCCAGCUCACUAGCGCAGCAUGUUGGAGCAGCGAGAGGGAGGCAAGCAGGAAGAAUUUUUAACGCGUGAACACCAUUCGACGAAGACAACGCUGGAUGAAAG
Molecule: long non-coding RNA, 356 nt
Organism: Anopheles merus
Lineage: Eukaryota; Metazoa; Arthropoda; Insecta; Diptera; Culicidae
Exons: 3
Source: RefSeq, a predicted model, not a curated record